AUGGCGGAAACCGAAAAGCCAGCAAUGAGUAGGUA
Molecule: regulatory RNA element, 35 nt
Organism: Porphyromonas sp.
Lineage: Bacteria; Pseudomonadati; Bacteroidota; Bacteroidia; Bacteroidales; Porphyromonadaceae
Rfam family: DUF805b RNA
About the family: Bacteroidetes, Chlorobi (1 example), Proteobacteria. Lineage (Flavobacteria)
Source: Rfam